AGACCCCACAAACCUUACAGACCCCAUAAACCCCGCAGACCCCACAGACCCCACAAACCCCUCCACCCCACAGACCCCACAGACCCCACAAACCCCACAGAGCUCCGUGCUGCACGUCGGGGCCGACCCCAUUUAUUGACCCCAAAACUGCCGAUGGGGNNNNNNNNNNNNNNNNNNNNNNNNNNNNAGACCCCACAGAUGUGGGGUGGGGUGGGGCGCUAUGGGGUGCUAUGGGGCGGUGUGGGGUGCUAUGGGGUGCUAUAGGGUGGUGUGUGGGGCUAUAGGGUGCUAUGGGGUGGUGUAGGGUGCCAUGGCGUGUUAUGGGGUGCUAUGGGGUGGUAUGUGGGGCUAUGGGGCGCUAUGGGGUGCUAUGGGGCAGUGUAGGGUGCUAUGGAGUGCUAUGGGGUGCUAUGGGGCGGUAUGUGGAGCUAUGGGGCACUAUGGGGUGCUAUGGGGCGGUGUAGGGUGCUAUGGGGCACUAUGGGGUGCUAUGGGGUGGUGUGUGGGGCACAAUGGGGUCAAUGGGUCUCAAUGGGUCUCAGUGGGUCUCAGUGGGGUCAAUGGGUCUCAGUGGGUCUCAGUGGGUCUCAGUGGGUCUCAAUGGGUCUCAAGGGGUCUCAAUGGGGCACAGUGGGGUCAGUGGGUCUCAGUGGGUCUCAGUGGGUCGCUGUGGGUCUCAGUGGGUUUCAAUGGGUCUCAGUGGGGUCAAUGGGGUCACUGGGUCUCAGUGGGUCUCAGUGGGUCUCAGUGGGUCUCAAUGGGUCUCAAUGGGUUUCAAUGGGUCUCAGUGGGUCUCAAUGGGUCUCAGUGGGUCUCAGGGGUCUCAAUGGGUCUCAGGGGUCU
This 843-nucleotide long non-coding RNA is filed under the name Phasianus colchicus (ring-necked pheasant). RNAcentral describes it as "lncRNA (ENSPCLG00000016699.1)". Lineage: Eukaryota; Metazoa; Chordata; Aves; Galliformes; Phasianidae. The record is from RNAcentral.